UGGGGAAUAUUGCACAAUGGGGGAAACCCUGAUGCAGCGACGCCGCGUGAAGGAAGAAGUAUCUCGGUAUGUAAACUUCUAUCAGCAGGGAAGAAAAUGACGGUACCUGACUAAGAAGCCCCGGCUAACUACGUGCCAGCAGCCGCGGUAAUACGUAGGGGGCAAGCGUUAUCCGGAUUUACUGGGUGUAAAGGGAGCGUAGACGGAGCAGCAAGUCUGAUGUGAAAGGCGGGGGCUCAACCCCCGGACUGCAUUGGAAACUGUUGAUCUUGAGUACCGGAGAGGUAAGCGGAAUUCCUAGUGUAGCGGUGAAAUGCGUAGAUAUUAGGAGGAACACCAGUGGCGAAGGCGGCUUUCUGGACGAAAACUGACGCUGAGGUACGAAAGCGUGGGGAGCAAACAGGAUUAGAUACC
Molecule: ribosomal RNA, 414 nt
Filed under: uncultured bacterium
Lineage: Bacteria
Description: bacterial SSU rRNA
Rfam family: Bacterial small subunit ribosomal RNA
Source: RNAcentral